AAUGAUUUGCCUGAUUAAAGGAUUAUCUUGAUAGGGUAAAUAAAAUAAUAAAUUAUAUUCAUUA
RNAcentral lists this transfer RNA (64 nucleotides) under Conostigmus sp. MM-2013. RNAcentral describes it as "tRNA-Ile". Lineage: Eukaryota; Metazoa; Arthropoda; Insecta; Hymenoptera; Megaspilidae. The record is from RNAcentral.